UCGGGAAUUUUGGGUAAUGGGCGAAAGCCUGACCCAGCAACGCCGCGUGAGGGAUGAAGUAUUUCGGUAUGUAAACCUCGAAAGAAUGGGAAGAAUAAAUGACGGUACCAUUUAUAAGCUCCGGCUAACUACGUGCCAGCAGCCGCGGUAAUACGUAGGGAGCAAGCGUUGUUCGGAUUUACUGGGCGUAAAGGGCGCGUAGGCGGCGCGGUAAGUCACUUGUGAAAUCUCUGAGCUUAACUCAGAACGGCCAAGUGAUACUGCUGUGCUAGAGUGCGGAGGAGGCAACCGGAAUUCUUGGUGUAGCGGUGAAAUGCGUAGAUAUCAAGAGGAACACCUGAGGCGAAGGCGGGUUGCUGGGCCGACACUGACGCUGAUGCGCGAAAGCCAGGGGAGCAAACG
This 402-nucleotide ribosomal RNA is filed under the name uncultured bacterium. RNAcentral describes it as "bacterial SSU rRNA". It matches the Rfam family "Bacterial small subunit ribosomal RNA", at positions 355 to 774 of the family's 1533-position model. The record is from RNAcentral.